UUGUGUUCAGUUAUUACUUAUGUUUGAUUUAUUGCUGAUGAUAAUUACCUAGUGCAAUUUCUUGCAGUAAUUUUGAAUUAACUUUUGUGUUUCAUAUUGGCAAAUUGAAGUGUUUUGAAAAUCUGUUGAAACUCCUUUCUUACAUUUUUAAUGAUUUAUUAAAUUUGAUACUGUUUUUUAUUCUGAGUAUUGUAGUAAGUUAUGAAUCAUGGCUAGUUGUGUGUGUGUCAGCAUUUCAGAUAACUUUUGUUACAUUUAUGGGAAUUUGUGAUUAAGAAACAACAUUUUUAUUAGAAAAGUUUACCGUACCUACUCUGGAAUAAAACUGGGGGAUCAAAACAAACCAUUGACUCUAUAUAAAGUUUGUUUUAUUUGUGUAGAGAAUCUGAAAAGAUGGUCUAAAGGCAGAAAAAGCAUUCAGAUUUGAUAUGCCAAUAAUAGGAAGAGAGUCAAAACAUCAUUGUGAUAACUACUAUUUUUGCUCCUGUGAUAUUAUAAGAAAGCAAUUUUCUAUCCAAAUUUUCCAUCAGUUUUACAAUUUAUUACUCAUGGCCCAGAAAUUUCAAAAAUUUUCAUCUAUGUCAUUAAGGAAUUGGAAAAGAAAUAUUAAGGUUGAUGAAAUGUUAAUAUGAUGAAGAUUAUUGCUGGAUGCUGCAUUAUGAAAAUUUGGAAGCAGUACAUAAAGGUAAAAGAUGAUCUUCAGUAGCAAAUGAAAAAAAGAUUGCUAAGAUUUUUGACUAAGGUUAAAAUGUAAUUAAUCAAGUUUUACAGUUUUUUGUAAAUAAAUAUAUUCAGAAUUAGCUAUUCAUGAAUCAAAGUGACUAUAGAGGGUGUGAUGAUUUUUCAAUAUGGAGUCUGAAAGUAGUAUAAGAGAGAGAUACUGAAAAUAAAUAAUUGGUAGUUUUAUAGCGGCAACCCAUCGCUUCACUUGACGACCAUGCAGUAAUAUUAGUAAUCGGAGGAAAAAGCACUGGCUAAAAU
RNAcentral lists this long non-coding RNA (981 nucleotides) under Androctonus crassicauda. The record is from RNAcentral. Lineage: Eukaryota; Metazoa; Arthropoda; Arachnida; Scorpiones; Buthidae.